AGUUAACAGCACUCUGCCACGUCAAGCUUACGAGUUGCCGCUGUGCCACCCGGUAGGAACGUGACGAUGCGCUCCGUUCUCCGGUCUCUGUUUUCCAAGUCAGAUACGGUCGCAUUUUCAAGGGGAAGCCUCCAGACUUCAAUCUGGGACAGAUGUUAUGGUUUUUUUUUAUGUUUCUUUUGGUCCAGACAAACCUCAGGGCCUGGAGGUAGAACCGAACUUUUAUAACUUCUCUAAUUCCAGAUCUUUACGGCCUGGCUGUUUGACUUCGAGUGUCUCACUCUGACCGGAGAGGAGAUGACGGAUGAAUGGAUGGUGACGGGAUGUGGAUGGGGAUGGGUGAAGCUUGAAGAGAAACAUCUGUCCUGAAUCUUGCAAGCUUUGCACUGCAGAAGAGUCCGGACAGGAGGGGAGCGAAAACCAGGAAUGUUCGUGGAGGCAGAACGGAGCGCUGAGAUCAUCAUCUCGUUGGUAAACGGUAAAGCCCACUGAUAUCUUUAAUCUCUGAAUUAGCCAGACGUCUCGGAUACGAGUGCAUGUGCAGAUCGCUCCAGAAUGCGGAGGAUGGAGGUUAAAUAGAGAGGACGUUGACCUGUCCCGCCUGCCCAGUGUUCAGACUACCUGUUCAGGAAGUAGCGGUUGUACAGUAGUCUGCACAUUGGUUAGGCUGGGUGGGGAAGCGCAUGAGAGUCGCGGCCUUCGUCAUCGUCAUCGCUCAUCGUCAACUUAUCUGCCAAUCAACAGCUUGUCAUGUUUUACUGCUUAACUCUGAUGUCUUUAAUAAACUCCUCGAAUUUAACCUCAAA
Long non-coding RNA from Clarias gariepinus (North African catfish), 806 nucleotides. RefSeq lists it as uncharacterized. The record is from RefSeq and is a predicted model, not a curated record. NCBI's taxonomy places the organism in Eukaryota, Metazoa, Chordata, Actinopteri, Siluriformes, Clariidae. The transcript is spliced from 3 exons.